Molecule: long non-coding RNA, 1762 nt
Organism: Gasterosteus aculeatus aculeatus (three-spined stickleback)
Lineage: Eukaryota; Metazoa; Chordata; Actinopteri; Perciformes; Gasterosteidae
Source: Ensembl
CCCGUCCCGCCUUUCACUCAUCUCUGUCCGCCCAAACAGCCUCCCACACGUCUAUCUGAUGCACACGCCGCCCUGACCUGGUUGGUAUCAGCAGAAGGUCGCUCUCCUCGCAGGAAUAAGCACGCAAGUCCUGUCAAAGAAUCAGAGGCUCCGGAUGAAAUAUCACGUUGCAGAACUCAUGCGUUUGAAUCAGAGAAAUGCACAAAUGGAGAGAACGGUGAGUGAAUAUCUGAAAUAUCAGUGCACGAGGGGAGUGGGAGUCCUGCUUAGCGUGUCGAAGCACACGGUUUGUUCAUACAAAAGAGCCCUUUGUUUGAAAUAGGGGGAUGAGUAUGUGCGUGGAGCGCACAUGUAUGUGCGCGACAGCUGCUACUGGUCUAAUGUUACGUUGGCUUCAUAACACACUUACAACACGGGCAUGUCAUGGGCAGUUCAAAGUAGACACACACACACACACACACAUCUGUUUUAUAAUACGUGCUAAAUGUAGAAUAUCCAUAUUGUAGCUUUGUACAAUACAGUGAGUAGACAAUUUAAAUGAAUAGUGCUGAAUAAAUGUAUUAUAAAAUAACUAAUUGCAAGGUACAGUAUAAUAACAAAUUAUUUAUUUUAUGACCUUUAUAGAUCCUGACGGUACAAUAUGUAGUUCAAGGACAACCUCCAUUAAAAAAUGACUAACUUAAUUUAUGGUAAAUCACAUUUCCACACUGGUAAUCUGGGACCAUGUAAUAUUCCAGUAAAGUAACACAUUGCAAAGACAGUGGAAAAUCAAACGGAGGGUGAAUAAUGUUCAGCAGCUCAUUUAACCUUUGACCUGCACAAAGAACACUAUGUUUUCACACUAACGUCAAAAAAAGUGUAUACAAACCUGAGUGACCAGAAGGAGCCGGACGUGGCAGUGAAAGCGUUAAGCGCCGCAGAAUGGGAGGCUCCACGCCCCGCCCACCGCCCCCUCAUUUGCAUAUCGAGCGGGAAGCCCCGGCUCUUUGUUGCUACUGCGCCCAGCCGGAGCCCCUCCCACAAAACGCCGCACUGGCGGGAAAAUGCUCCAGAGCUUUAGCCCACUGACAACGGGCACGCGCGUCUCCCACAUUAUGCACCGCGGAGUGCGCGUUGCUCUUCACACGCAGAUGGAAUCAAAUGCGCGGGCACGCGCACACGCACACACACACACUUGUAUUGUUUGUCAUGUAUCGGCUGCCACACCCAUUUCUCGCCUAAGUGGACACACAGAUAGAUUAAAGAGGAAAUGGACUGAGGAUUGAUUUUGAUAUGAAGUUGAUGACACACACACACACACACACACACACACACACACACACACACACACACACACACACACACACACACACACACAGUGUGAGAGGAGUGAGACACAUUAUCAUGGCCCACUAGACACAAUACAUCAAUGGUAAGCGGCUUUAAAUAAAAUAAGCAAAUUACUUACAAAAGGUGACAAUGCUGUAUGUGUGUGUGUGUGUGUGUGUGCGCGUGCUUGUGUUGGGAAAAGGGUUCAUUGGGUUGUUGGAAAAACAGGAAGGCGUGUUAUGCUCUGGACUGGGAAGGGUAGACGACGAAGGGAAAAAACUACCGAGCGCCCCCCGCAUUACAUAACCCGGCAGGAAAUGUGUGUGGAGGGUGGACUUUGGGGGGGGGGGGGGGUGUAGGCACACUGCACCUAUGACACUUUCCUUGAAGGCUAUUCACAUCUAAUCACGUCUCUUCCUCUCCACGUCCUUCUGUCACGUCUCCUUGUAAACAG